GAUGAACGCUAGCGAUAGGCUUAACACGUGCAAGUCGAGGGGCAGCAUGGUCUUAGCUUGCUAAGACUGAUGGCGACCGGCGCACGGGUGCGUAACGCGUAUGCAACUUGCCUCACAGAGGGGGAUAACCCGUCGAAAGACGGACUAAUACCGCGUACACUCCAUCUUGGGCAUCCAAGGUAGAGGAAAUGAAAUUCGCUGUGAGAUAGGCAUGCGUCCCAUUAGCUAGUUGGUGAGGUAACGGCUCACCAAGGCGACGAUGGGUAGGGGAACUGAGAGGGUGAACCCCCACGCUGGUACUGAGACACGGACCAGACUCCUACGGGAGGCAGCAGUGAGGAAUAUUGGUCAAUGGGCGAGAGCCUGAACCAGCCAAGUCGCGUGAAGGAUGACUGUCUUAUGGAUUGUAAACUUCUUUUAUACGGGAAUAACAAGAGUCACGUGUGACUCCCUGCAUGUACCGUAUGAAUAAGCAUCGGCUAACUCCGUG
RNAcentral lists this ribosomal RNA (490 nucleotides) under uncultured bacterium. RNAcentral describes it as "partial 16S ribosomal RNA". It matches the Rfam family "Bacterial small subunit ribosomal RNA", at positions 28 to 507 of the family's 1533-position model. The record is from RNAcentral.